UCAGUUGAAACGGCUGAAAGAGGUAUGCUUGAUCCGGGGCUCUCAUUGUUGGGAGGGCGACACCAUUGACCCCGAAUCUAGCGAGUGUUGGAGAGGAGAUCCGGGAGCAAAAUCCGCGGUGGCGUGGUGUCAUCUAUGGCUGGAGAUUUUCGUGCUGGACAAUAUAGACUUGGGUCUAUUUAAUAUGGUACAUCGCGAGCUCCCUCGUGUGUAGUGUUUUGAUCAGAAAAUGCUGUAGCAAAUGAUUACGAUGGCGUAUUUCAAGAAACAAGGCGUGGUGACGUAUGUGCCUGCAGCGUUGGGCCCUCCAGAUUCGGUGUGUUAUGAUCGGGUAGCUCUGAUGAGCCAGCCAUCUGGUGGUGCUUCUGCAACAAGGUCCCCUGAUGAGGUGCCAUCGGGAGGGAUGUUUGAUGGAAGGGUUGGCCAGAAGCCGGACGUCAUCCUGAACAGGGGUGCGCUAGUGGGUGGCACAUUGGGGGAUCCAAUGUCUGCACAUCGAUCUGUUGGACCUAACAAGUUUGCCAAGCAUUUACGAGAGACUUGUGGGGAUGAUCUGGUGCUUCAAGAACUGAGUUUGAUGUUGAAGCAGCACAAUGCGAAGUGCACACUGAGUAUGACAUUGCUUCGUAACAGGAUGCAGUCCGACAUGUUUUCUUUCGCUGAUAGUUAUAGAGCUUGUGCGGGACCGUUUCCGUUGUUGUAGCAAGCGCGGACUGUCAAAGUGUGUGAUGCUAGAUGAUCCCGGGAGGUGAUGUGCAGGGGGUAAACUGAUGCAUCUGAGGAAUGUGACAAUGGUGGCUCGCCUGCUUGUCAUGUCCAAUGAUGAAGGUAUUGAUUUUAGAGAAAUGAAGAUAUAGAAGUUGUCAAUGCCAGAGUAGUCCUUGACACGGUCCGCUGCUUUUACGACAACUGUGAUGCGGAUGCAGAUGUUGUUUUAUUUGGGCAGAUAGAGGCUAAGUUGCCGAAAAGGAGGUAUGUUAUGUUGGCAAGUUUUGCUGCUAACCCAUGGACAAGUGGAUGCCUACCACAACCACCACCAAUCCCAUUGGUGAAUAGGUUUCAUGCAUGGAUAUCGGGAGGAAAUCAGUUUGAAUUAGACAGUGUAUGGUUUGUGCAUACAUACCCACGGCUUCUGAGGGUGAAUGUCGUGUGUGUUCUGCAAUAGAUGGUUGGGACGCAUCCACUUGACCACGAGGUUGCUGCUCUCGCUAUAAGGAGGUUUCACCAGAUCGACGUGGAGGCGCAGUCUGUGAACAUGUACAUGAUGUGGAACCUGAUUUCUCGGUUAGUACAUGAUCAUGCUCUUCAUGCAUUUGUGGAUGUGAAGAAAGGACUGAGGGAGUCCUGGAUUAGGGGGUCUCUGGACAGUCGGACUAUAUCCUUUGCUCGGACUGUUGGACUAUGAAGAUACAAGAUUGAAGACUUCGUCCCGUGU
This is a long non-coding RNA of Triticum dicoccoides, 1435 nucleotides long. RefSeq lists it as uncharacterized. The transcript has 6 exons. The record is from RefSeq and is a predicted model, not a curated record. NCBI's taxonomy places the organism in Eukaryota, Viridiplantae, Streptophyta, Magnoliopsida, Poales, Poaceae.